RNAcentral lists this ribosomal RNA (253 nucleotides) under uncultured bacterium. RNAcentral describes it as "partial 16S ribosomal RNA". It matches the Rfam family "Bacterial small subunit ribosomal RNA", at positions 524 to 776 of the family's 1533-position model. The record is from RNAcentral.
UACGAAGGGGGCUAGCGUUGCUCGGAAUGACUGGGCGUAAAGAGCUCGUAGGCGGCUUGUCGCGUCGACCGUGAAAACUUGGGGCUCAACCCCAAGCCUGCGGUCGAUACGGGCAGGCUAGAGUUCGGUAGGGGAGACUGGAAUUCCUGGUGUAGCGGUGAAAUGCGCAGAUAUCAGGAAGAACACCCGUGGCGCAAGCGGCCACCUGGCCAAGAGCUGACGCUGAGGCACGAGAGCGUGGGGAGCGAACCGG